Pelobates cultripes (western spadefoot toad) is the source of this 2156-nucleotide non-coding RNA. The record is from the annotation of a GenBank genome assembly. Lineage: Eukaryota; Metazoa; Chordata; Amphibia; Anura; Pelobatidae.
GUGGCGAAAAGCGUCCCGGUUUUAUGUGGACAUUGUGCCAUUUUUUAUUUCAUAGAUUGUAUUAAUACACUUGUUUUAUUUUAUCAUUCUUCAUCCUGGUUCUACAUUCGUCAUUCCUCAUAUGGGAGUGCAGUCCCUAAUCUGCACAACCCUCAGAUACUGAGUCAAUUUUAGACUCCUUGCUUGACAAGAUAUACACCUGUAGUAAGGGUGGGUCGCCUACACGGACCCAGAAGCGAUCCAAACCAGAGCUGGGCCCACAGCUCUCUGUUUAUUUCGAUUUAUCUGAGACCUAAGUGAGAAUUUACCUCCUAUUUAAACCAAAAGGUGAUUAAUUGUUUAUCUACUACAAAAGCAAGACACAGAUUAAUACUAACUGUCUGCUCUAGUUUUGAGAAAGUAUAGACAGAGUCCUGCUAGCAGGGGUGAUAUAGGCCAAGGCGUGCAACCUCCCAAUCUAAACUUUUGUCCCAAAUUGUCCUUAAUAAAUUGCAAAUUUGUUCCUGGAUGCUGUAUCCUUAGGUGCCUGGGUAACAGCCUGGCAUGUCACAAUGCCAAAAUAAGUUGCAUGGACACCCAUGAGAUAAAGUGGCAUUAAAGUAUAUAAAAUCAGUCUUUUUUGCUGACAACAUUGCAAUUAGCACUAAGGAUAGACAAUAUACUCUUCCAGUGGCUAGCAUAGACCCUAAACAUUCAUUAAUAGGGCAAGUAUGAAAAGUAUAGAAUACUUAAAAAGAGGAAAAUAUGACAAAAGAUUAACAAAUGUGUGUCUUUAUUGGGUAUAUGUUUCUACUUUGUGGUUUAUAGGCUUCUGCAUUUGGUUUCGUCUGAAUUGUGGUCCAAAUUAAUGCCUGUUGGCUGAUGAUUUCCAUAUCUCUGAAACACCAAACAAACAUAUAGCCAAUCAAAGGCUAAACAAGGCUGAACAUGUUCAUUUUAAUUGGUAUUUGGAUAUGAUUGAUAGAAAAAAAAUAAUUGAUGGUUUGACGGCAGCCACUAAAUGUUGAUUUUAUUCACAGAUUAAGUGAGAAGUGAUUAUAAUUGAUUCCAAUGCAUGUUGAUUUAAUGGCCACAAAAUAUGAGAUAAUUUCAGGAUAGGAUGCACCCAUAGUUUUUAACAAAUCUACCUUAUUCAUUUAUAAAGGAUAAUAAACCUCCUAAACACUGCUGAACAAAGUAUCACCAAGAUGAAGUCAUGACCAUCACAUAAGUCAAACACCUUUUCAAUUUCCACCCUAACAACUGUAUCUAAGCAUCAUUGAAGAGAUGAGUGCAGAGUGCACAAUGUGAAUCUUUUCUUGUGGAUAAAUAGUUUAAUAUCGAACUACAAACAGUUCAUGGCUUGUAAUAAGAUACCAUUCAAAGAAUGAUUGGAGCUGUUCUAAAGACAGAGACUGCUCCUUUAUCUUUUAUUUUUCUUACUGUUUUUACCACAGCAUUUUGUAAGGUGCUCAAAUUAUGUUGUCCACUCUCCAUGUCUGUCUCUCUCUUUAUUCAAUCCAUAACUGUUGGAAUCACAGUACAAACAAAUACAGUUUCAGUCCUCAAGAGGAGGUUUAUUUGAACAUGAGAUUAAAGUGAACAGAAUAACCAGAACAGCUAAGUUAUAGCCAGUAUUUUACAUUAUACAUGAUCUUACAUUAUACAUUAUUAGAUAAAGCCAAUAGCUGUCAAAAGAGUGAACUCAAUUUAGUGUAUUAGGGGCUCAGUUAAAUAAACAGAGAAUGCAAAAGUCAAUGAUAGAAAAAAAAAACCUAAGAAUGUUUACUAUAUGUUACAUAUUCUGAUAUAUUCAUGAUAAACUAUUCAAUCAAGCAACUCUCUUUGUUAGAUCAAUUGUGUAUCUUUAUAAUGCAUUAAAAAAAGGCAUCAAUGGACUGAGAGAGGAUAUACUGGAUCCUGAUUAAUUACUAAUUCAUUCUUUGGUUAAAAACGUAUCUAUAAAAUUCCCUCUCAGAGGCAAAAACAUAGCUAGGGUCCAUUUGCAAUAAACCAUUAAUUAUUUUUCAUCCUUCUUAUUUCUCUUCUAUCUGAUGCCUGUAUCUGCUUAACUGUUUUAUUCACAGUAAUGCUACUGUACUGUUAACAACUUUUUGAUUUAAUAUGUUGUCACCUUUCUCAAUAUACUGCUUUAUUAACAGUUUAUUUAAUCUGCC